RNAcentral lists this ribosomal RNA (426 nucleotides) under uncultured bacterium. Its description in RNAcentral is "bacterial SSU rRNA". It matches the Rfam family "Bacterial small subunit ribosomal RNA", at positions 354 to 796 of the family's 1533-position model. The record is from RNAcentral.
GUGAGGAAUAUUGCACAAUGGGGGAAACCCUGAUGCAGCGACGCCGCGUGGGUGAUGAAGGUUUUCGGAUCGUAAAACCCUUUUCUGUGUGACGAGAGAGGACGGUAGCACAGGAAUAAGUGUCGGCUAACUACGUGCCAGCAGCCGCGGUAAAACGUAGGACACGAGCGUUAUCCGGAAUUACUGGGCGUAAAGGGCGUGCAGGCGGUCUGAUAAGUUAGGCGUGAAAGCUCUCGGCUAAACCGGGAGAGGUCGUCUGAUACUGUCAGACUAGAGUAUGGUAGAGGCGUGUAGAAUUCCGCGUGUAGUGGUGAAAUGCGUAGAGAUGCGGAGGAAUACCAGUGGCGAAGGCGGCACGCUGGGCCAUAACUGACGCUGAGACGCGAAAGCAUGGGUAGCGAACGGGAUUAGAUACCCUGGUAGUCC